GGAUUAGAUACCCUGGUAGUCCACGCUGUAAACGAUGAUCACUCCUUGUUGGCGAUACACUGUCAGCGACUAAGCGAAAGCAUUAAGUGAUCCACCUGGGGAGUACGGUCGCAAGAUUGAAACUCAAAGGAAUUGACGGGGGCCCGCACAAGCGGUGGAGCAUGUGGUUUAAUUCGAUGAUACGCGAGGAACCUUACCAAGGCUUAAAUGCAAGAUGACUUUCUGGGAAACCAGAAUUUCCUUCGGGACAGCUUGCAAGGUGCUGCAUGGUUGUCGUCAGCUCGUGUUG
This 289-nucleotide ribosomal RNA is filed under the name uncultured bacterium. Its description in RNAcentral is "partial 16S ribosomal RNA". It matches the Rfam family "Bacterial small subunit ribosomal RNA", at positions 775 to 1067 of the family's 1533-position model. The record is from RNAcentral.